GCCAUCAUUUAAAGAAAGCGUAAUAGCUCACUGGUCGAGUCGGCCUGCGCGGAAGAUGUAACGGGGCUAAACCAUGCACCGAAGCUGCGGCAGCGACAUUAAGGUGUUGUUGGGUAGGGGAGCGUUCUGUAAGCCGUUGAAGGGGGACUGUGAGGUCUGCUGGAGGUAUCAGAAGUGCGAAUGCUGACAUAAGUAACGAUAAAGCGGGUGAAAAACCCGCUCGCCGGAAGACCAAGGGUUCCUGUCCAACGUUAAUCGGGGCAGGGUGAGUCGACCCCUAAGGCGAGGCUGAAAAGCGUAGUCGAUGGGCAACAGGUUAAUAUUCCUGUACUGGUGAUAAUUGCGAUGGGGGGACGGAGAAGGCUAGGCAGGCCGGGCGACGGUUGUCCCGGUUUAAGGAUGUAGGUGGGUGAGCCAGGUAAAUCCGGCUGACCAUGACACUGAGGUCUGAUGACGAGUCACUACGGUGGCGAAGUUGCUGAUGCCCUGCUUCCAGGAAAAGCCUCUAAGCUCCAGAUUAUCAUUAAUCGUACCCCAAACCGACACAGGUGGUCAGGUAGAGAAUACUCAGGCGCUUGAGAGAACUCGGGUGAAGGAACUAGGCAAAAUGGUGCCGUAACUUCGGGAGAAGGCACGCUGGCGUUAGGUGAAGGACCGCGCGUCCGGAGCCGAGGCCAGUCGCAGAGACCAGCUGGCUGCAACUGUUUAAUAAAAACACAGCACUGUGCAAACACGUAAGUGGACGUAUACGGUGUGACGCCUGCCCGGUGCUGGAAGGUUAAUUGAUGGGGUUAGCCGCAAGGCGAAGCUCUUGAUCGAAGCCCCAGUAAACGGCGGC
This 838-nucleotide ribosomal RNA is filed under the name Xenorhabdus poinarii. Its description in RNAcentral is "bacterial LSU rRNA". It matches the Rfam family "Bacterial large subunit ribosomal RNA", at positions 1115 to 1934 of the family's 2925-position model. The record is from RNAcentral. Lineage: Bacteria; Pseudomonadati; Pseudomonadota; Gammaproteobacteria; Enterobacterales; Morganellaceae.